GUCGAACGGAACUUGAGAGAGCUUGCUUUUUCAGUUUAGUGGCGCACGGGUGAGUAACGCGUGAGUAACCUGCCCUGGAGUGGGGGACAACAGUUGGAAACGACUGCUAAUACCGCAUAAGCCCACAGCACCGCAUGGUGCAGCGGGAAAAGGAUUUAUUCGCUUCAGGAUGGACUCGCGUCCAAUUAGCUAGUUGGUGAGGUAACGGCCCACCAAGGCGACGAUUGGUAGCCGGACUGAGAGGUUGAACGGCCACAUUGGGACUGAGACACGGCCCAGACUCCUACGGGAGGCAGCAGUGGGGGAUAUUGCACAAUGGGGGAAACCCUGAUGCAGCGACGCCGCGUGGAGGAAGAAGGUUUUCGGAUUGUAAACUCCUGUCGUAAGGGACGAUAAUGACGGUACCUUACAAGAAAGCCACGGCUAACUACGUGCCAGCAGCCGCGGUAAAACGUAGGUGGCAAGCGUUGUCCGGAAUUACUGGGUGUAAAGGGAGCGCAGGCGGACCGGCAAGUUGGAAGUGAAAUCUAUGGGCUCAACCCAUAAAUUGCUUUCAAAACUGCUGGCCUUGAGUAGUGCAGAGGUAGGCGGAAUUCCCGGUGUAGCGGUGGAAUGCGUAGAUAUCGGGAGGAACACCAGUGGCGAAGGCGGCCUGCUGGGCACCAACUGACGCUGAGGCUCGAAAGCAUGGGUAGCAAACAGGAUUAGAUACCCUGGUAGUCCAUGCCGUAAACGAUGAUUACUAGGUGUUGGAGGAUUGACCCCUUCAGUGCCGCAGUUAACACAAUAAGUAAUCCACCUGGGGAGUACGACCGCAAGGUUGAAACUCAAAGGAAU
This 837-nucleotide ribosomal RNA is filed under the name uncultured bacterium. Its description in RNAcentral is "bacterial SSU rRNA". It matches the Rfam family "Bacterial small subunit ribosomal RNA", at positions 61 to 910 of the family's 1533-position model. The record is from RNAcentral.